UAAGCCUGAUGCAGCCAUGCCGCGUGUAUGAAGAAGGCCUUCGGGUUGUAAAGUACUUUCAGCGGGGAGGAAGGCGAUAAGGUUAAUAACCUUGUCGAUUGACGUUACCCGCAGAAGAAGCACCGGCUAACUCCGUGCCAGCAGCCGCGGUAAUACGGAGGGUGCAAGCGUUAAUCGGAAUUACUGGGCGUAAAGCGCACGCAGGCGGUCUGUCAAGUCGGAUGUGAAAUCCCCGGGCUCAACCUGGGAACUGCAUUCGAAACUGGCAGGCUGGAGUCUUGUAGAGGGGGGUAGAAUUCCAGGUGUAGCGGUGAAAUGCGUAGAGAUCUGGAGGAAUACCGGUGGCGAAGGCGGCCCCCUGGACAAAGACUGACGCUCAGGUGCGAA
Molecule: ribosomal RNA, 387 nt
Filed under: Klebsiella oxytoca
Lineage: Bacteria; Pseudomonadati; Pseudomonadota; Gammaproteobacteria; Enterobacterales; Enterobacteriaceae
Description: bacterial SSU rRNA
Rfam family: Bacterial small subunit ribosomal RNA
Source: RNAcentral